This 946-nucleotide ribosomal RNA is filed under the name Cortinarius trichocarpus. RNAcentral describes it as "eukaryotic LSU rRNA". It matches the Rfam family "Eukaryotic large subunit ribosomal RNA", at positions 35 to 964 of the family's 3401-position model. Lineage: Eukaryota; Fungi; Basidiomycota; Agaricomycetes; Agaricales; Cortinariaceae. The record is from RNAcentral.
UAAGCAUAUCAAUAAGCGGAGGAAAAGAAACUAACAAGGAUUCCCCUAGUAACUGCGAGUGAAGCGGGAAAAGCUCAAAUUUAAAAUCUGUCAGCUUUGGCUGUCCGAGUUGUAAUCUAGAGAAGUGUUAUCCGCGCUGGACCGUGUACAAGUCUCCUGGAAUGGAGCGUCAUAGAGGGUGAGAAUCCCGUCUUUGACACGGACUGCCAGGGCUUUGUGAUGCGCUCUCAAAGAGUCGAGUUGUUUGGGAAUGCAGCUCAAAAUGGGUGGUAAAUUCCAUCUAAAGCUAAAUAUUGGCGAGAGACCGAUAGCGAACAAGUACCGUGAGGGAAAGAUGAAAAGAACUUUGGAAAGAGAGUUAAACAGUACGUGAAAUUGCUGAAAGGGAAACGCUUGAAGUCAGUCGCGUUGUCUAGGGACUCAACCUUGCUUUUGCUUGGUGUACUUUCUGGUUGACGGGUCAGCAUCAAUUUUGACUAUUGGAAAAAGGUCAGGGGAAUGUGGCAUCUUUGGAUGUGUUAUAGCCCUUGGUUGUAUACAAUGGUUGGGAUUGAGGAACUCAGCACGCCGCAAGGCCGGGUUUUUUUAACCACGUACGUGCUUAGGAUGCUGGCAUAAUGGCUUUAAUCGACCCGUCUUGAAACACGGACCAAGGAGUCUAACAUACCUGCGAGUGUUUGGGUGGAAAACCCAAGCGCGUAAUGAAAGUGAAAGUUGAGAUCCCUGUCGUGGGGAGCAUCGACACCCGGACCAGACCUUUUGUGACGGUUCCGCGGUAGAGCAUGUAUGUUGGGACCCGAAAGAUGGUGAACUAUGCCUGAAUAGGGUGAAGCCAGAGGAAACUCUGGUGGAGGCUCGUAGCGAUUCUGACGUGCAAAUCGAUCGUCAAAUUUGGGUAUAGGGGCGAAAGACUAAUCGAACCAUCUAGUAAGCUGGUUCCUGCCGA